Molecule: ribosomal RNA, 439 nt
Filed under: uncultured bacterium
Lineage: Bacteria
Description: partial 16S ribosomal RNA
Rfam family: Bacterial small subunit ribosomal RNA
Source: RNAcentral
CUACGGGUUGCUCCAGUGAGGAAUAUUGCACAAUGGGGGGAACCCUGAUGCAGCAACGCCGCGUGGAGGAUGACGCAUUUCGGUGUGUAAACUCCUUUUAUAUGUCAAGAAAAUGACGGUAGCAUAUGAGUAAGCACCGGCUAACUCCGUGCCAGCAGCCGCGGUAAUACGGAGGGUGCAAGCGUUACUCGGAAUCACUGGGCGUAAAGGACGCGUAGGCGGGUUGGAAAGUCAGGUGUGAAAUCCUACAGCUUAACUGUAGAACUGCACUUGAAACUUCUAAUCUAGAGUAUGGGAGGGGGAGAUGGAAUUAGUGGUGUAGGGGUAAAAUCCGUAGAUAUCACUAGGAAUACCUAAAGCGAGGGCGAUCUCCUGGAACAUUACUGACGCUAAGGCGUGAAAGCGUGGGGAGCAAACAGGAUUAGAUACCCUCGUAGUC